Molecule: transfer RNA, 87 nt
Filed under: Desulfobacteraceae bacterium 4572_87
Lineage: Bacteria; Pseudomonadati; Thermodesulfobacteriota; Desulfobacteria; Desulfobacterales; Desulfobacteraceae
Also listed under: 1 other name
Description: tRNA-Leu
Rfam family: tRNA
About the family: Transfer RNA (tRNA) molecules are approximately 80 nucleotides in length. Their secondary structure includes four short double-helical elements and three loops (D, anti-codon, and T loops).
Source: RNAcentral
GCCGAAGUGGCGGAACUGGUAGACGCGCUAGGUUCAGGGUCUAGUGAGUGUAUGCUUGUGCGAGUUCGAGUCUCGCCUUCGGCACCA